AACGAACGCUGGCGGCAUGCCUAACACAUGCAAGUCGAACGAGACCUUCGGGUCUAGUGGCGCACGGGUGCGUAACGCGUGGGAAUCUGCCCCUUGGUUCGGAAUAACAGCGAGAAAUUGCUGCUAAUACCGGAUAAUGACGUAAGUCCAAAGAUUUAUCGCCAAGGGAUGAGCCCGCGUAGGAUUAGCUAGUUGGUGUGGUAAAGGCGCACCAAGGCGACGAUCCUUAGCUGGUCUGAGAGGAUGAUCAGCCACACUGGGACUGAGACACGGCCCAGACUCCUACGGGAGGCAGCAGUGGGGAAUAUUGGACAAUGGGCGAAAGCCUGAUCCAGCAAUGCCGCGUGAGUGAUGAAGGCCUUAGGGUUGUAAAGCUCUUUUACCCGGGAUGAUAAUGACAGUACCGGGAGAUAAGCUCCGGCUAACUCCGUGCCAGCAGCCGCGGUAAAGUGACUACUG
This 459-nucleotide ribosomal RNA is filed under the name uncultured bacterium. Its description in RNAcentral is "bacterial SSU rRNA". It matches the Rfam family "Bacterial small subunit ribosomal RNA", at positions 29 to 532 of the family's 1533-position model. The record is from RNAcentral.